UAGGGAAUCUUCCGCAAUGGACGCAAGUCUGACGGAGCAACGCCGCGUGAGUGAAGAAGGAUUUCGGUUCGUAAAACUCUGUUGUUAGAGAAGAACAGCGCAUAGAGUAACUGUUAUGCGUGUGACGGUAUCUAACCAGAAGGCCACGGCUAACUACGUGCCAGCAGCCGCGGUAAUACGUAGGUGGCAAGCGUUGUCCGGAUUUAUUGGGCGUAAAGCGAGCGCAGGCGGUCAAUUAAGUCUGAUGUGAAAGCCCCCGGCUCAACCGGGGAGGGUCAUUGGAAACUGGUUGACUUGAGUGCAGAAGAGGAGAGUGGAAUUCCAUGUGUAGCGGUGAAAUGCGUAGAUAUAUGGAGGAACACCAGUGGCGAAGGCGACUCUCUGGUCUGUAACUGACGCUGAGGUUCGAAAGCGUGGGUAGCAAACAGG
This 429-nucleotide ribosomal RNA is filed under the name Bacteroidota bacterium. RNAcentral's name for it is "Bacteroidetes bacterium partial 16S ribosomal RNA". It matches the Rfam family "Bacterial small subunit ribosomal RNA", at positions 355 to 776 of the family's 1533-position model. The record is from RNAcentral. Lineage: Bacteria; Pseudomonadati; Bacteroidota.